Molecule: small nucleolar RNA, 137 nt
Organism: Cavia porcellus (domestic guinea pig)
Lineage: Eukaryota; Metazoa; Chordata; Mammalia; Rodentia; Caviidae
Source: Ensembl
CUGGCCCUGAAUCAAGGCUGACACCUUCCUGAUGCUAUUGGCUUCAAGCAGGAGUCUAAAGAGGUGUCUUUCUAUGGUCUGUUGGUCAUUUCAGAACUUGGGCAGUGAAAUGGUCAAUUCGUUACGAAGAAACAGCU